CCUAUAUUGUCGUCAUCAUCCCCAUUGAGGUGUUUCCUCUUUAUGACUUUCGUUUUCUCCUCACCAUUUAUGGUCCCUUCUCUACCAAUGAUGUAAGUAAAGUUAGGAACUUUUCGGUGCCACACACUCAUGCCCACACAACAAUGCUCUAGGUCACCUCUCUAAGAGGAAUUUGUUUUAGUUAAGUGUUCCUCCAACAUGAGAGCACCUAGGAAG
This 216-nucleotide long non-coding RNA is filed under the name Carica papaya (papaya). RNAcentral's name for it is "long non-coding RNA (CPAP_LNC009969)". Lineage: Eukaryota; Viridiplantae; Streptophyta; Magnoliopsida; Brassicales; Caricaceae. The record is from RNAcentral.